Molecule: ribosomal RNA, 1537 nt
Filed under: Klebsiella pneumoniae
Lineage: Bacteria; Pseudomonadati; Pseudomonadota; Gammaproteobacteria; Enterobacterales; Enterobacteriaceae
Description: bacterial SSU rRNA
Rfam family: Bacterial small subunit ribosomal RNA
Source: RNAcentral
AAAUUGAAGAGUUUGAUCAUGGCUCAGAUUGAACGCUGGCGGCAGGCCUAACACAUGCAAGUCGAGCGGUAGCACAGAGAGCUUGCUCUCGGGUGACGAGCGGCGGACGGGUGAGUAAUGUCUGGGAAACUGCCUGAUGGAGGGGGAUAACUACUGGAAACGGUAGCUAAUACCGCAUAACGUCGCAAGACCAAAGUGGGGGACCUUCGGGCCUCAUGCCAUCAGAUGUGCCCAGAUGGGAUUAGCUAGUAGGUGGGGUAACGGCUCACCUAGGCGACGAUCCCUAGCUGGUCUGAGAGGAUGACAGCCACACUGGAACUGAGACACGGUCCAGACUCCUACGGGAGGCAGCAGUGGGGAAUAUUGCACAAUGGGCGCAAGCCUGAUGCAGCCAUGCCGCGUGUGUGAAGAAGGCCUUCGGGUUGUAAAGCACUUUCAGCGGGGAGGAAGGCGUUAAGGUUAAUAACCUUGGCGAUUGACGUUACCCGCAGAAGAAGCACCGGCUAACUCCGUGCCAGCAGCCGCGGUAAUACGGAGGGUGCAAGCGUUAAUCGGAAUUACUGGGCGUAAAGCGCACGCAGGCGGUCUGUCAAGUCGGAUGUGAAAUCCCCGGGCUCAACCUGGGAACUGCAUUCGAAACUGGCAGGCUAGAGUCUUGUAGAGGGGGGUAGAAUUCCAGGUGUAGCGGUGAAAUGCGUAGAGAUCUGGAGGAAUACCGGUGGCGAAGGCGGCCCCCUGGACAAAGACUGACGCUCAGGUGCGAAAGCGUGGGGAGCAAACAGGAUUAGAUACCCUGGUAGUCCACGCCGUAAACGAUGUCGAUUUGGAGGUUGUGCCCUUGAGGCGUGGCUUCCGGAGCUAACGCGUUAAAUCGACCGCCUGGGGAGUACGGCCGCAAGGUUAAAACUCAAAUGAAUUGACGGGGGCCCGCACAAGCGGUGGAGCAUGUGGUUUAAUUCGAUGCAACGCGAAGAACCUUACCUGGUCUUGACAUCCACAGAACUUUCCAGAGAUGGAUUGGUGCCUUCGGGAACUGUGAGACAGGUGCUGCAUGGCUGUCGUCAGCUCGUGUUGUGAAAUGUUGGGUUAAGUCCCGCAACGAGCGCAACCCUUAUCCUUUGUUGCCAGCGGUCCGGCCGGGAACUCAAAGGAGACUGCCAGUGAUAAACUGGAGGAAGGUGGGGAUGACGUCAAGUCAUCAUGGCCCUUACGACCAGGGCUACACACGUGCUACAAUGGCAUAUACAAAGAGAAGCGACCUCGCGAGAGCAAGCGGACCUCAUAAAGUAUGUCGUAGUCCGGAUUGGAGUCUGCAACUCGACUCCAUGAAGUCGGAAUCGCUAGUAAUCGUAGAUCAGAAUGCUACGGUGAAUACGUUCCCGGGCCUUGUACACACCGCCCGUCACCAUGGGAGUGGGUUGCAAAAGAAGUAGGUAGCUUAACCUUCGGGAGGGCGCUUACCACUUUGUGAUUCAUGACUGGGGUGAAGUCGUAACAAGGUAACCGUAGGGGAACCUGCGGUUGGAUCACCUCCUUA